CCUAACACAUGCAAGUCGAACGCUUCACCGGUUUCGGCCGGUGGGGAGUGGCGCACGGGUGAGUAGCGCGUGGGAACCUGCCCUGUUGUGGGGGAUAACCGAGGGAAACUUCGGCUAAUACCGCAUAAGCCCCGGAGCAAUCCGGGGGAAAGAUUUAUCGCGACAGGAGGGGCCCGCGUCGGAUUAGCUAGUUGGCGGGGUAACGGCCCACCAAGGCGGUGAUCCGUAGCUGGUCUGAGAGGAUGAUCAGCCACACUGGGACUGAGACACGGCCCAGACUCCUACGGGAGGCAGCAGUGGGGAAUAUUGGACAAUGGGCGCAAGCCUGAUCCAGCAAUGCCGCGUGAGUGAUGAAGGCCUUAGGGUUGUAAAGCUCUUUCGCCCGCGACGAUGAUGACG
This 399-nucleotide ribosomal RNA is filed under the name uncultured Acidobacteriota bacterium. RNAcentral describes it as "bacterial SSU rRNA". It matches the Rfam family "Bacterial small subunit ribosomal RNA", at positions 47 to 456 of the family's 1533-position model. Lineage: Bacteria; Pseudomonadati; Acidobacteriota. The record is from RNAcentral.